UACGAGGGGGGCAAGCGUUGUUCGGAAUUACUGGGCGUAAAGCGUGCGCAGGCGGUUCGUUGUGUCGGUGGUGAAAUCCCCGGGCUUAACCUGGGAACUGCAUUGGUGACUGGCAGGCUUUGAGUGUGGCAGAGGGAGGUAGAAUUCCACGUGUAGCAGUGAAAUGCGUAGAGAUGUGGAGGAAUACCGAUGGCGAAGGCAGCCUCCUGGGCCAACACUGACGCUCAUGCACGAAAGCGUGGGGAGCAAACAGG
RNAcentral lists this ribosomal RNA (254 nucleotides) under uncultured bacterium. RNAcentral's name for it is "partial 16S ribosomal RNA". It matches the Rfam family "Bacterial small subunit ribosomal RNA", at positions 524 to 776 of the family's 1533-position model. The record is from RNAcentral.